AUACGUAGGGGGCGAGCGUUGUCCGGAAUGAUUGGGCGUAAAGGGCGCGAAGGCGGCCCGGCAAGUCUGGAGUGAAAGUCCUGUUUUUAAGAUGGGAAUUGCAUUGGAUACUGUCGGGCUUGAGUACCGGAGAGGUAAGUGGAAUUCCCAGUGUAGCGGUGAAAUGCGUAGAGAUUGGGAGGAACACCAGUGGCGAAGGCGAGUUUCUGAAAUGUAACAGAAGCUAAAAAGCGAAAGUGUGGAGAGCAAACAAGAUAAGAUAGCCAAGUAGUAAACACUGUAAAAGAUCAAUUCUAGGUAUAGGGGAUAUCGACCCAAACUGUGGCGCAGCCAACACAAUAAGCGUCCCGACUGGGGAAUACGGCGGCAAAAUUCAAUCUCAAAUCAGUUGAAGGGG
RNAcentral lists this ribosomal RNA (397 nucleotides) under uncultured bacterium. RNAcentral's name for it is "partial 16S ribosomal RNA". It matches the Rfam family "Bacterial small subunit ribosomal RNA", at positions 523 to 918 of the family's 1533-position model. The record is from RNAcentral.